GCUAUCUAUUUUUAUCAUUAUACGAAAUGAAUUCCUAGUGUUGUCAGUUGUAUUUUUUUUUUAGAUUUUUUUUUUGCUCUCAUUAAUUUAAAUGUUUUAAUAAAUUUAAUAUUAUUUAAUAUUAAUAUCCGGACUGGCCAUUGUAAUCCAAAUUAUAUAGAUUGUUACCAUUUUUCAAUCUCAAUCGAUUUAGAUUGAACUGAAUCAAGUGCUCAGCACUAGUUUCGAAUGAACGUGAUAAUCUACCGAUAUUAUAUAUUAUACUGUAGUAGUAUUAAAACGGAGAUCUGUCUUAUACACAUUUUCACCGAUAAUGGACGGCAAUGUAUCGGAUGAUGGCGUUUAGAUCUCAAAGCCCAUAUACAAAACUUAUGUAUUAUUGGAGUGAAUUAUAGCAACGCAUUUAGACAUAGUAUAGUCUCUUCAAAUAUUUAAUCUAUUCGCUUUCUUGUCGGUAUAAUACAUUGUGUACUGCGCGUCGUGUUUGGCUCAAUAUUUAUGACCCGGAAAACUUUUCAAGUCCUGUCAAAUAUUUAUCACCUACACAAUAUAUCAAACUCGAAUACAUUGUAAGUACACUUAAUUUACGCAUAUCUAAUUAUAUAGUAUUAUAAUCGAUGUCCACCAGCGGAUGCCACAACGCAAUAAUAAUACGUGUAACCGAUGAAAAUAAUGGAACCUGUACUCUCAAACCCGAAAAGCUCGUGUAAAAACUCGUCAACGUACUCGGUAGAGGCGUGCUUAUAGUGAAAAGAAUUUUAACAGAUUAUUAACAUGUUUUAACAUGGUUUUAGAAAUUUUAUAAGUGAAAUGUGUAUACAUUUUACAGAAUGUUCUUAUAUUGCUUUAUAAAAGACUCGCGGAACUCGGGUAUUUUUCUUGACUUUCCCAAUAGGCGCCUAUGACUUAAAGUAUUAUAACGUUGCCCAAAGAAAAUACCCAUUAUAUUAGUAUUUUGAGUAUUCAUGUGAAUAUACGAGUAUAAUCUGGCUCACGUUUUGUAUAGGUGCCCAUAAAUAAUGCGAUCACUAUCCGUUUUUAGUGUUUGUUAAGUAUGUCGAAUAAUAAUUUAAAAUAAAAAAAAGGUAUGUUUAUGUGUUAGUAUUAUUAACAAAUAAGACAGAGGACAUUUAGC
Cinara cedri is the source of this 1135-nucleotide non-coding RNA. NCBI's taxonomy places the organism in Eukaryota, Metazoa, Arthropoda, Insecta, Hemiptera, Aphididae. The record is from the annotation of a GenBank genome assembly.